This is a non-coding RNA of Delphinapterus leucas (beluga whale), 741 nucleotides long. The record is from RefSeq and is a predicted model, not a curated record. NCBI's taxonomy places the organism in Eukaryota, Metazoa, Chordata, Mammalia, Artiodactyla, Monodontidae.
CCCCCUAUAAAUGGUAACCUCCUUCUCCCCUGCAGUAGCUAAGAUUGCUGCUGCAUCCUGCCUGCUGUCUGCCUUAUAGGUGGGGUGUCGCUCCAGGACAUUUUGCUUCUGACUUGUAAGAUUCCCUAUCCAGUACACCUUGGAUGUCUCUUUCGCUGUUUCCAGGCUCUUUCUUUGGUCUCACGGUUGGGCAACUACAAGGCUUGCAGACCUGAGGGGUACAGCCCCAAAACAAGAAACAAUGCUUUGCAGUUUUAUACAGUAGCGGAAAGAGUAUUGGACCGAAGAUCUGACUCCUCAAAUCUACUGUUUAAGUUAGGAACACAGACAUGAAGGUGGGCAAUGUGGACGAUGAAAAUACCCUCGGAAAUGGCAGAAAAACAAAAUGAAAGAAACUUUGGUCCUUGAAUCACCUGCUGGCCCUGAAGUGUUUACUCCUGGAUGGUCUGCAUGAGAGAAAUAAUCCCCAAUCUUACCUAAACAGUGUAUUUUAGAGUUUUUGUCUGUCUGCUUCUCUCUCCCACUCUUUUUAACAGCAACUUCUUUUGUAGCUAAUAAAAGCAGCACUGUUAAUAGAAACUUCCCCUAUGGAACUCCGUGUACAAAGUAAGUAGAUCUUAUUUUCUCUGGACUGGAAGGACAUCCAAUAAAGAGCAAGUGACAAAUGUCUAAUACAACAAAAUCAAAUCAAUUUCCUGGUUAUCUACUAUGUGUAAGGGACUAAGAAGUUACACUAGUAGU